UUGCAUCAAAAAGUUUCUUUUUAAAAAAAAAAAUUCUUAUUUGAUUAUUUUUUGAUCACACAAAUUCAUUGCGAAUAAAUUCUACUUUCAUAAUACAAAUUGCCCCACAUAAAGUAUAAAUUAUAAUUAUAAAUUUCACAUUAUUUAUUGCAUUGGGCAUUCAGAUCGAAUUAACUCUUAAUCAAAUCGAACCUAAAAUUCAAUUCAAGAUCGGUUCGUUUUGGACAACCCAUAUUUCAUUAUUUUGUUUCGAAUUUACUAUUCACUUCCACGAAAGCAUCACCCCAGUGACUCAGCAGCAGUGAGCUAACAAAAGCUUGCAAAACAAAACCACCGCCACCACCAGCCACCAAGCCAAACGGGUGUCACUACCGUCGACCAACACUCGAGCGGCUUCCCUCCGUUGUCGUCUUCAUUAGUCUUCGUCGUCUUCUUCCAGUCGCGCGCAUGAACAGCCGCAGUCGAGGCAUUUUAUCGUCGUCAUCUCCGUCGUCAGUUCCGGUCCAUUCAUGCUUAAGUUUUCAACUUUUCUUUCUGCUGUUUCGCAGUCUAUCGGUGCCCGAUGAUUGGAUUAAGCCAAAUCCGAUACGCCCAAUUGCCCAUUUCCUUAUUUUCUUCAAAAUUCUGUAUUUUUUUUUUAAUAUACUUUCCCAAAGUUUUUUACUUUGCCUAAAGUUGAUUUGCUUGGAUUGUUUUAUUAUUGACUUUGUAAUUUUGAUUUUAUUAGGCUAAAUUUGUCCAUUGCAUUUUUUUUAUAUAUAAUUUGAGAAUAUAGAAUUCAGGGUGAAUUU
Molecule: long non-coding RNA, 791 nt
Filed under: Citrus maxima (pomelo)
Lineage: Eukaryota; Viridiplantae; Streptophyta; Magnoliopsida; Sapindales; Rutaceae
Description: long non-coding RNA (CMAX_LNC001404)
Source: RNAcentral